CUUUAUCCUUCUUUUAGAGCUGAAACCUGUGUCAGUGUCCACAGUGUUUGAAUAGUCUGGUUUUAAUAGAAACAUGAAAACGCCAUAUGGAGCCAGACAACCAUUUCCUUCCUUCAGUGUGUUUGACUUGAAGAAACAGUAGCCUGGAUUGGUCCUUGAUAUGUAAUUACUUCAUGAAGCACUGUACACAGGACUACAGCACCAUUAGCCAAGCCUCCCAGCCAAGGAA
Molecule: long non-coding RNA, 229 nt
Organism: Tympanuchus pallidicinctus (lesser prairie-chicken)
Lineage: Eukaryota; Metazoa; Chordata; Aves; Galliformes; Phasianidae
Exons: 3
Source: RefSeq, a predicted model, not a curated record